ACUCUGACCAGCCAUGCCGCGUGCAGGAAGACUGCCCUAUGGGUUGUAAACUGCUUUUAUCCGGGAAUAAACCUUUCUACGUGUAGGAAGCUGAAUGUACCGGAAGAAUAAGGAUCGGCUAACUCCGUGCCAGCAGCCGCGGUAAUACGGAGGAUCCAAGCGUUAUCCGGAUUUAUUGGGUUUAAAGGGUGCGUAGGCGGCCUGUUAAGUCAGGGGUGAAAGACGGUAGCUCAACUAUCGCAGUGCCCUUGAUACUGAUGGGCUUGAAUGGACUAGAGGUAGGCGGAAUGAGACAAGUAGCGGUGAAAUGCAUAGAUAUGUCUCAGAACACCGAUUGCGAAGGCAGCUUACUAUGGUCUUAUUGACGCUGAGGCACGAAAGCGUGGGGAUCAAACAGGAUUAGAUACCCUGGUAGUCCACGCCCUAAACGAUGAACACUCGCUGUUGGCGAUACACAGUCAGCGGCUAAGCGAAAGCGUUAAGUGUUCCACCUGGGGAGUACGCCCGCAAGGGUGAAACUCAAAGGAAUUGACGGGGGCCCGCACAAGCGGAGGAGCAUGUGGUUUAAUUCGAUGAUACGCGAGGAACCUUACCCGGGCUUGAAAGUUAGUGAAUGAUUUAGAGAUAGAUCAGUG
RNAcentral lists this ribosomal RNA (635 nucleotides) under Pedobacter sp. Ri3Pt_6450. Its description in RNAcentral is "bacterial SSU rRNA". It matches the Rfam family "Bacterial small subunit ribosomal RNA", at positions 380 to 1016 of the family's 1533-position model. Lineage: Bacteria; Pseudomonadati; Bacteroidota; Sphingobacteriia; Sphingobacteriales; Sphingobacteriaceae. The record is from RNAcentral.